UGUCCUACGGGGGGCAGCAGUGGGGGAUAUUGCACAAUGGGGGAAACCCUGAUGCAGCGACGCCGCGUGAGUGAAGAAGUAUUUCGGUAUGUAAAGCUCUAUCGGCAGGGAAGAAAAAAAUGACAGUACCUGACUAAGAAGCCCCGGCUAACUACGUGCCAGCAGCCGCGGUAAUACGUAGGGGGCAAGCGUUAUCCGGAUUUACUGGGUGUAAAGGGAGCGUAGGCGGCCAUGCAAGUCAGAAGUGAAAACCCGGGGCUCACCCCUGGGAGUGCUUUU
Molecule: ribosomal RNA, 279 nt
Filed under: uncultured bacterium
Lineage: Bacteria
Description: partial 16S ribosomal RNA
Rfam family: Bacterial small subunit ribosomal RNA
Source: RNAcentral